RNAcentral lists this unclassified non-coding RNA (323 nucleotides) under soil metagenome. RNAcentral describes it as "partial contains 5.8S ribosomal RNA, internal transcribed spacer 2, and large subunit ribosomal RNA". The stretch from base 1 to 120 matches the Rfam family "5.8S ribosomal RNA", at positions 35 to 154 of the family's 154-position model. The record is from RNAcentral.
GAUGAAGAACGCAGCGAAAUGCGAUAAGUAGUGUGAAUUGCAGAAUUCAGUGAAUCAUCGAAUCUUUGAACGCACAUUGCGCCCCUUGGUAUUCCAUGGGGCAUGCCUGUUCGAGCGUCAUUUGUACCUUCAAGCUUUGCUUGGUGUUGGGUGUUUGUCCUGAGGGACUCGCCUUAAAGUAAUUGGCAGCCAGUGUUUUGGUUUUGAAGCGCAGCACAAGUCGCGAUUCAAAGCUAUACGCCAGCUUCCACAAGCCUUUUUCACUUUUGACCUCGGAUCAGGUAGGGAUACCCGCUGAACUUAAGCAUAUCAAUAACGGAGGA